RNAcentral lists this microRNA precursor (83 nucleotides) under Paramuricea clavata. Lineage: Eukaryota; Metazoa; Cnidaria; Anthozoa; Malacalcyonacea; Plexauridae. The record is from RNAcentral.
AGUUGAAGUUUGAUUGGAAUUCUGUGACUUGUUAUUCCUUGUUCCUGCAUAACAAGUCACAGAAUUCCAAUCAAACUUCAACU